RNAcentral lists this ribosomal RNA (722 nucleotides) under Pseudoalteromonas sp. Its description in RNAcentral is "bacterial SSU rRNA". It matches the Rfam family "Bacterial small subunit ribosomal RNA", at positions 396 to 1111 of the family's 1533-position model. Lineage: Bacteria; Pseudomonadati; Pseudomonadota; Gammaproteobacteria; Alteromonadales; Pseudoalteromonadaceae. The record is from RNAcentral.
GCCGCGUGUGUGNAGAAGGCCUUCGGGUUGUAAAGCACUUUCAGUCAGGAGGAAAGGUUAGUAGUUAAUACCUGCUAGCUGUGACGUUACUGACAGAAGAAGCACCGGCUAACUCCGUGCCAGCAGCCGCGGUAAUACGGAGGGUGCGAGCGUUAAUCGGAAUUACUGGGCGUAAAGCGUACGCAGGCGGUUUGUUAAGCGAGAUGUGAAAGCCCCGGGCUCAACCUGGGAACUGCAUUUCGAACUGGCAAACUAGAGUGUGAUAGAGGGUGGUAGAAUUUCAGGUGUAGCGGUGAAAUGCGUAGAGAUCUGAAGGAAUACCGAUGGCGAAGGCAGCCACCUGGGUCAACACUGACGCUCAUGUACGAAAGCGUGGGGAGCAAACGGGAUUAGAUACCCCGGUAGUCCACGCCGUAAACGAUGUCUACUAGAAGCUCGGGUCCUCGGACUUGUUUUUCAAAGCUAACGCAUUAAGUAGACCGCCUGGGGAGUACGGCCGCAAGGUUAAAACUCAAAUGAAUUGACGGGGGCCCGCACAAGCGGUGGAGCAUGUGGUUUAAUUCGAUGCAACGCGAAGAACCUUACCUACACUUGACAUACAGAGAACUUACCAGAGAUGGUUUGGUGCCUUCGGGAACUCUGAUACAGGUGCUGCAUGGCUGUCGUCAGCUCGUGUUGUGAGAUGUUGGGUUAAGUCCCGCAACGAGCGCAACCCCUAUCCU